AACGGUGUCUUCGGACACAGUGGCGGACGGGUGAGUAACGCGUGAGAAUCUGGCUUUAGGUCUGGGACAACCACUGGAAACGGUGGCUAAUACCGGAUGUGCCGAAAGGUGAAAGGUUAACUGCCUGAAGAUGAGCUCGCGUCUGAUUAGCUAGUUGGUGUGGUAAGAGCGCACCAAGGCGACGAUCAGUAGCUGGUCUGAGAGGACGAUCAGCCACACUGGGACUGAGACACGGCCCAGACUCCUACGGGAGGCAGCAGUGGGGAAUUUUCCGCAAUGGGCGAAAGCCUGACGGAGCAAUACCGCGUGAGGGAGGAAGGCUCUUGGGUCGUAAACCUCUUUUCUCAGGGAAGAACACAAUGACGGUACCUGAGGAAUAAGCAUCGGCUAACUCCGUGCCAGCAGCCGCGGUAAUACGGAGGAUGCAAGCGCUAUCCGGAAUGAUUGGGCGUAAAGCGUCCGCAGGUGGCUAUGUAAGUCUGCUGUUAAAGAGUCUAGCUCAACUAGAUAAGAGCAGUGGAAACUACACGGCUAGAGUACGUUCG
Molecule: ribosomal RNA, 545 nt
Filed under: uncultured cyanobacterium
Lineage: Bacteria; Bacillati; Cyanobacteriota
Description: bacterial SSU rRNA
Rfam family: Bacterial small subunit ribosomal RNA
Source: RNAcentral